Long non-coding RNA from Bos taurus (domestic cattle), 751 nucleotides. The record is from Ensembl. NCBI's taxonomy places the organism in Eukaryota, Metazoa, Chordata, Mammalia, Artiodactyla, Bovidae.
GUGGGUCCCCUCUUCCUUCCCCACCCUACCCCGCACACUCACGGGCUCUCCCAGGGCAGCGCCCAGGCCCGCGUGCCCAGUGUCUCAGACUGGUUCUGGCCUGGCUGACCUCCCCGACCAGAGGAAGGGCUGGGCCGCUGGCGUUGGGGUACCGACCCCGGCCUCCCCACAACACAGUUCCUGGAAAACUUAAAAAGCGCUUUAGUGAGAUGAGAUGACAGUUCGGUGGAAACCCACAUGCCACAGGCCCGGGCUUCAGAGUGUGUUUCUGGGCGCUCUCUUCAGUUGAGGGGUCGUUUUUGUCCCUUUCUUCCGAAACUUUCCUGUCUUUGAAUGAGCCUGCUCCUGAAACAGGUUCUAACUUUGAGCAAGUUUCAUGGGGCGAAAGUUGGAAACCAUCUAGAGGCUCCUGUUGGAGGGACUAUUAAGGACAUACGGUCACUAACCACGGGGUGGCCAGCGGGUGCCCAAAUGUGACCCCCAACGUGGGGACCUGCAUCUGUAUUGGGAGCAGGUAUGGGAUCCCAAGCCUUACUUGGCUUUUCUGACUUCUGCAGUGACCUUGCUUUGCUUUCAGUAAGGAUGGAGCAGAGCUGGGGGAGGAGGCGUAAACGGCAACAGAAAAGAACCCCAGAAUUUUCAGGCAGAUUCUUUAUCUUCUGAGCCACCAGGGAGGCCCCAAACUUUCGUCCUACCUGCUGAUGUUGGACUACUGUUCCUUGUAAAUCAUGAAGCAUCCAGAGGGUCAGCC